CGAACGCUGGCGGCAGGCCUAACACAUGCAAGUCGCAGGGGAAGCCGUCCUUCGGGUCGGUGGAGACUGGCGCACGGGUGAGUAACGCGUGGGUAUCUGCCCUGGGGUGGGGGAUAACCGCUGGAAACGGCGGCUAAUACCGCAUACGCCCUCUGGGGGAAAGCCGUAAGGCGCUCUAGGAGGAGCCCGCGUCCGAUUAGCUUGUUGGUGGGGUAACGGCCCACCAAGGCGUCGAUCGGUAGCUGGUCUGAGAGGAUGAUCAGCCACACUGGGACUGAGACACGGCCCAGACUCCUACGGGAGGCAGCAGUGGGGAAUAUUGGACAAUGGGCGCAAGCCUGAUCCAGCCAUGCCGCGUGAGUGAAGAAGGCCUUAGGGUUGUAAAGCUCUUUCGCCCGUGAAGAUGAUGACGGUAGCGGGAGAAGAAGCCCCGGCUAACUCCGUGCCAGCAGCCGCGGUAAU
Molecule: ribosomal RNA, 462 nt
Filed under: uncultured bacterium
Lineage: Bacteria
Description: bacterial SSU rRNA
Rfam family: Bacterial small subunit ribosomal RNA
Source: RNAcentral